UCCCUGGUAGUCCAGUGGUUAGGACUUGGUACUUUCACUGCAAAGAGCCAGGGUUUAAUUCCUAGUUGGGGAA
RNAcentral lists this transfer RNA (73 nucleotides) under Bos taurus (domestic cattle). It matches the Rfam family "tRNA". From Rfam's summary of the family: Transfer RNA (tRNA) molecules are approximately 80 nucleotides in length. Their secondary structure includes four short double-helical elements and three loops (D, anti-codon, and T loops). The record is from Rfam by way of RNAcentral. RNAcentral also lists the same sequence under 4 other names. Lineage: Eukaryota; Metazoa; Chordata; Mammalia; Artiodactyla; Bovidae.